CGGAGCGUAGCGCAGGCUGGUAGCGCAUCUGGUUUGGGACCAGAGGGUCGAAGGUUCGAAUCCUUUCGCUCCGACCA
Molecule: transfer RNA, 77 nt
Filed under: Treponema denticola
Lineage: Bacteria; Pseudomonadati; Spirochaetota; Spirochaetia; Treponematales; Treponemataceae
Also listed under: 3 other names
Description: tRNA-Pro(tgg)
Rfam family: tRNA
About the family: Transfer RNA (tRNA) molecules are approximately 80 nucleotides in length. Their secondary structure includes four short double-helical elements and three loops (D, anti-codon, and T loops).
Source: RNAcentral